GACGAACGCUGGCGGCGUGCUUAACACAUGCAAGUCGAACGGAAAGGCCCUGCUUUUGUGGGGUGCUCGAGUGGCGAACGGGUGAGUAACACGUGAGUAACCUGCCCUUGACUUUGGGAUAACUUCAGGAAACUGGGGCUAAUACCGGAUAGGAGCUCCUGCUGCAUGGUGGGGGUUGGAAAGUCUCGGCGGUUGGGGAUGGACUCGCGGCUUAUCAGCUUGUUGGUGGGGUAGUGGCUUACCAAGGCUUUGACGGGUAGCCGGCCUGAGAGGGUGACCGGCCACAUUGGGACUGAGAUACGGCCCAGACUCCUACGGGAGGCAGCAGUGGGGAAUAUUGCACAAUGGGCGGAAGCCUGAUGCAGCAACGCCGCGUGCGGGAUGACGGCCUUCGGGUUGUAAACCGCUUUCGCCUGUGACGAAGCGUGAGUGACGGUAAUGGGUAAUGAAGCACCGGCUAACUACGUG
This 468-nucleotide ribosomal RNA is filed under the name uncultured bacterium. RNAcentral describes it as "partial 16S ribosomal RNA". It matches the Rfam family "Bacterial small subunit ribosomal RNA", at positions 28 to 507 of the family's 1533-position model. The record is from RNAcentral.